Molecule: non-coding RNA, 2590 nt
Organism: Paralichthys olivaceus (Japanese flounder)
Lineage: Eukaryota; Metazoa; Chordata; Actinopteri; Pleuronectiformes; Paralichthyidae
Source: RefSeq, a predicted model, not a curated record
ACACACACACAUGGCUGAUCUCCUGGUGGACGCCUCCUCCUUCAGGUUUGAUUACGAUCAAUGCUCAAAGGACGUGGAGACACCGAGCAGAGGAAGGCUCCACAGUCCGGCUCUGACGAGGACACCUCCAGGGAAUCCUUCAUCACCAGGAGCUAGUCGAGUGGGCCGGCCUGCACACGUUGACCUUACAGCCUUUUUUUUAAUCGGAUUAUGAAACAAGACAUCCAGCAGCUGAAGGAGGAGACUGGUACUGGACCGUGACUCAAGACGACAGACUGGGUUUAAUCCUGCAGGAAAAAAAAAAAAACUCCGCGUUCAACUUUUUGUUUAAAGUGUUAGAUCAAGAUGGAUGGAAUCUUCCUCUGAGUGUGAGGGAUUCCUCCGCCGUGUCUUUUUCAAGUCGAGUCAUGUUUAUGCUUUCAGCUGGACUGUGAUUUAGAUGAUCCUCUGAACGUGUUUUCUCUCUUUCAAACUUUCUCUGUCUGGUUUCGAGACAAGGGCCCAGUGUUUUGGAAAACGCCCCGCAGUUAAAAAAAAUCAUUACACUUGGUUUUCGCCCAUUUGAUUCUCUCUCCACAUCCUUUAGUUUCAGUUACCGUGGCUGAAAAGUGAAGCGGUCGUGGUGGUUCCUCCAGUGCUGAUGUGGCAGACUGAAUCAGUGAGUAUUACCUCAUCCAAACAGGAUUGUGCAAAUGAGCUCAUUCGCAGCCCGAUUGCCUCGUUGCCAGUUGGUACAUGAGUGGAUAUGCUUAUUUGCCACUAAAAGACAAAACAUCUGGAGGCUACAACCGGUUCCCUCUGGAGGCUGGAGGCAGCUAAUACCAUCUGUUUCACUGAAACUCCACAUUUUCUGCUGAAAGGGAAUCACUUAACAUGCGUUUUCACUGGCCGAGCCAAUUCCGCCCACAUCUGGACGACCGAAUGAAGUCCAACCGUCUCAGAGCAGUCACUCGUGGAUAUGCAUAAUAGAUUUUAAAAGGGAUAUCAUGUUUUAAUGCGUGCUGCUAGCAUGUUGGUUGAGCCCUCGUUUCUUUUUGAUCCAGGCGACUUUUGGGCGCACGGCCACGGAACUCGUUCCAGACGUUCAUCCUCAGAUGAUAUGAUGGUCGUUACGUGUACAUGAUUUAUAGAAUCGUUGCAGAUGCUCGAGUAACCGCUCGUCUCCUGCACUUGUAAACACUUAUAUAUUGUGAAAUACAGAAUUCAACAGGACGACAGCUGUUCACAAAGACUCUGUGUCGCUCCGGUAGCUGAGGCUCGUGUUCUUCGUGUGAUAGGAACCCAAUCGGCGCCUACGUCACUGUUUCCGAACAUUCUCGUCCAGAUUAAACAAGUUUUCAAACUAACACGGCACCACCGUUAGCAGAGUUGAUGCUUUCUCAAAUGAAAUCGUAAUAAUGUGGAUGUGGCCUAUAAAUAUGUUAAUAUUGCCCCGCCCCUUCCCCCGUCUCUCCACCCUCACAGCAGCCGCCUGCAGAUGAGGAUCUGAGCCCCACCCACAAACCGACAGGAUUGGUUUCUUCGGUUUGUGACAUCACAGACCCUGAAUCUGUGUUUACCUCAGUGUUGGGGGUGCAAAUUAAAUCCUUUAUCAUAUAAAAUCUCUGUAUUUUCACUGAAACGGGGAUUUUAAAAUGUGUGUUUGUGAGGCGGAGAGACAACAGAAGCUUUACACACCGCAGUGAAAACCUGUAACUGAACCAGAGGGAAACAAAUUGGGGAUUUUAUCAGUGAGUGCAUGUCAGUUAUUUCCUAUUUGCAAACUGUGCUGCUCUGUUUUUGUCGUCCACAUCUGCGCUGCGAGGUUCAGAGACUCAAAACAUCAUGUGUGACAAAUCGAGUCCCGGCAGCUCUGGACGACCUUCGACGCAGCAGCAUCCGAAGCUGGAACAACAAAGAGUCCGCGAGGAGUUUGAGCUUCAGGCCUCAAGUCUCAUCGCUGCCUCGUAGAUAAACAGACGAGUGGAGCCAGUCCUCCCUUCCUCCGCCCGUAGGUUUUCAUUAACUAACAUUUUAAAGAGUGUUUCCUGUCUUUUUUGUUUAGCUCUCGGCUUUCUGGAAAUAAAACCAUAUAAAUAGGACAUCUGGGACGUUUCCCAAAUUCUGCAUAGGCCGUGGCGCUCAGGAAAAAAAGAGCAUUGUUCCCCCGAGGAGGUCCCAUUAUAUUUAGAGGUCAAGAGGAAACUGCAGCAGGUUAUUGGAUGAAUGAUACAGAACUGAGAACGACAACAAAUCCAAGUGUUAGUCAUUUCAAGGAAAGUGGAGGAACAACGAGAGAUAGCAUCUUUCUAUGGCGUCUUUGUUUUAGUUUGUCACAGCGGCGACCUGCUGCUGGUACAGAACGACCUCACGGGACUGAAGCUGUUUGUUUAGUUUAAUUAUCUCACACAUCAAUAUAAAAAUACACGUGAGGGUAGAAACCAGCCGUAUAUGAAGACUACACCCAAAUAUUACAAAAGGAUAUAAAGCAAAUCUCAGUACAGGUUGUGUAUCUACCCUCUGAUUCCACAAGUGUGUCUGUAUGUGUUCAACUUGGAAACUUAAAUUAAAAGUCUGGUGCGAUUUGGUUUCGUGACAAGUUAAAUAUUCC